GACGAACGCUGGCGGCGUGCUUAACACAUGCAAGUCGAACGGAAAGGCCCUGCUUUUGUGGGGUGCUCGAGUGGCGAACGGGUGAGUAACACGUGAGUAACCUGCCCUUGACUUUGGGAUAACUUCAGGAAACUGGGGCUAAUACCGGAUAGGAGCUCCUGCUGCAUGGUGGGGGUUGGAAAGUUUCGGCAGUUGGGGAUGGACUCGCGGCUUAUCAGCUUGUUGGUGGGGUAGUGGCUUACCAAGGCUUUGACGGUAGCCGGCCUGAGAGGGUGACCGGCCACAUUGGGACUGAGAUACGGCCCAGACUCCUACGGGAGGCAGCAGUGGGGAAUAUUGCACAAUGGGCGGAAGCCUGAUGCAGCAACGCCGCGUGCGGGAUGACGGCCUUCGGGUUGUAAACCGCUUUCGCCUGUGACGAAGCGUGAGUGACGGUAAUGGGUAAAGAAGCACCGGCUAACUACGUG
RNAcentral lists this ribosomal RNA (467 nucleotides) under uncultured bacterium. RNAcentral's name for it is "partial 16S ribosomal RNA". It matches the Rfam family "Bacterial small subunit ribosomal RNA", at positions 28 to 507 of the family's 1533-position model. The record is from RNAcentral.